This is a long non-coding RNA of Oreochromis niloticus (Nile tilapia), 339 nucleotides long. RefSeq lists it as uncharacterized. The transcript has 3 exons. The record is from RefSeq and is a predicted model, not a curated record. Lineage: Eukaryota; Metazoa; Chordata; Actinopteri; Cichliformes; Cichlidae.
GGUGGGGUCUGAAAACGAUGUGCCGGGAGUUCGCUGUUCUCGCCGCCUUGAUCUCCCGGUCAGCUGUCGAGCGGAUGUAGAACUGGAAGCAGUCCAAACUCCCAUUCUGACCCUUUGGAAUAGCACAUGAACAUAACGUGCUGGAUCUCCUCCACUAUAGCAAAAGGUCACAGCUGGAGACUCCCUCCUACUCCCCCUCAACAGGAAAGCUGGAUCAGUUUGACACAAAAGCUGAUGUCUGCUCUUAAGAUCACAUGUGAGAUCUGCUUACAUUUUUGGCCACUCCCAAUAGAGUGUGUGUGGGUGUGAGUAGCUGUGCCCUCCCUGUUUGCUGCUGAG